GAUGAAGAACGCAGCGAAAUGCGAUACGUAAUGUGAAUUGCAGAUUUCAGUGAAUCAUCGAAUCUUUGAACGCACAUUGCGCCCGCUAGUAUUCUGACGGGCAUGCCUGUUCGAGCGUCAUUUCAACCAUCAAGCCCUAGGCUUGCGUUGGAGCCCUGCGGCUGCCGCAGGCUCCCAAAUCCAGUGGCGGGCUCGUCGUCGUACCGAGUGCAGUAAACAUCCUCGCUCAGGGAACGUGACGGGUUCUUGCCGUGAAACCCCCCACAUAUCAAGGUUGACCUCGGAUCAGGUAGGAAUACCCGCUGAACUUAAGCAUAUCAAUAAGCGGAGGA
Molecule: unclassified non-coding RNA, 332 nt
Filed under: soil metagenome
Description: partial contains 5.8S ribosomal RNA, internal transcribed spacer 2, and large subunit ribosomal RNA
Rfam family: 5.8S ribosomal RNA (bases 1-120)
Source: RNAcentral